UCAGGGCAUCCACUUGUGAAGAUAGGGUUUCCACGAUGAUUUUGGUUCUCUUCUUACUUUCUAAAAUUAUCUUUUUCUCGAUUUGAUUCUUUGCUUCCAAGUUGUAACGGGAUCCUCUUUCAAAUUUGAAAGCAUACCAGGUUAUCAAUAUUUGUGGUUGUUGGAGCCUAAGCCUUGGCCGAGACUUAUUUGUGUGUAACCUGAUACUUCUUGCUACUGUCAGGGUGUUAGCUUUGCUGAAGGGUUAUCUACGCAUGGACCAUUGUUUUCGACUGCCACAAGAAUGCAAGCCUUGCCCAAGACUUUUGAACUGAGUCCUGUUGCCCUUACCAAGGUAGAAGCCUUUCCCGAGGCUUAUACAAUAACUGAUGACAGCUUCUACAUAAAAUUUACUUAUGUUGGGAUGCUUUCUAGAUUUGAGUUUUAUCCCUUGAACUACAUCAAAAUAGACAAAACCACCUAUAUUAGGUAAUAAUAGCUCAAUUACACAUUUAAAAUAAGUGAUAU
Molecule: long non-coding RNA, 507 nt
Filed under: Carica papaya (papaya)
Lineage: Eukaryota; Viridiplantae; Streptophyta; Magnoliopsida; Brassicales; Caricaceae
Description: long non-coding RNA (CPAP_LNC015068)
Source: RNAcentral